Non-coding RNA from Lolium perenne, 181 nucleotides. The record is from RefSeq and is a predicted model, not a curated record. NCBI's taxonomy places the organism in Eukaryota, Viridiplantae, Streptophyta, Magnoliopsida, Poales, Poaceae.
CAGCUAUGUAUGCAUCUCACUUUAUUCAGACCAGAAAACAAAACAAUCUCAAUCAAACCAGACUCAAACCAGCCGCCAUCACCGCUACCCAGAGCAGUGUUUCUCCAUGAUCAAUUAACGGAGAAGGGCAGGAAGUUAGGUCCAAAAAAGCUAUGAAAACAAGCCGUCUUGGACAUCUAAG